CCGAAAGCCAGGCGGAGCAGCACAACAGCUCGAAAAGAGACGGAAAGGCAAUCAGCCUAAUAGACCUGCUCGGACCCCACGGGGGAGUGAGAGGGGGGCUCGGAGCGACAGAGGCGGCGACCAGCUUUGCGAAACCUGCCCAUGAUUGUGCCAUUCCUUUAAGAGCCCAGUUUGUACAAGAUGUAACCCCGUUGGUGGGCCCUAAGCCGCCUUUUAGCUAAGCAGAUGGACGACUUCGCUGCCUGCCUAGUCCAUGGGCUCGCACGUUUCACUCUUUUCGGAUGAACUCCGCCUGACCGAAAACACUGUCGUACCUCUUCCCCCAGCGAAGCCGGCACUAUCCACAAUUCAAUUACAGGAGGGCAGCCCCAACAGCCCAGUUGACACCUCAAGCCCAAACUCAAACUUAAUGGUUCUCGAUUUGAUUAAUGGCUGCGAGCAGCAAAUAAAGCCAGUGGUAGUCGCAGAAACGAAGCGAAAGGAGAGUGCUGAGCGGUACUCUGACAUUGAA
This is a long non-coding RNA of Drosophila biarmipes, 511 nucleotides long. RefSeq lists it as uncharacterized. Lineage: Eukaryota; Metazoa; Arthropoda; Insecta; Diptera; Drosophilidae. The transcript is spliced from 3 exons. The record is from RefSeq and is a predicted model, not a curated record.